GGGGAUGUAGCUCAGUGGUAGAGCGUCCGCUUUGCAUGCGGAAGGCCCGGGGUUCAAUCCCCCGCAUCUCCA
Non-coding RNA from Nematostella vectensis (starlet sea anemone), 72 nucleotides. NCBI's taxonomy places the organism in Eukaryota, Metazoa, Cnidaria, Anthozoa, Actiniaria, Edwardsiidae. The record is from Rfam.